Molecule: ribosomal RNA, 253 nt
Filed under: uncultured bacterium
Lineage: Bacteria
Description: partial 16S ribosomal RNA
Rfam family: Bacterial small subunit ribosomal RNA
Source: RNAcentral
UACGGGGGGUGCAAGCGUUAUCCGGAUUCACUGGGUUUAAAGGGCGCGUAGGUGGGUUGGUAAGUCAGUGGUGAAAUCCCCGAGCUUAACUUGGGAACUGCCAUUGAUACUAUCAGUCUUGAAUAUUGUGGAGGUCAGCGGAAUAUGUCAUGUAGCGGUGAAAUGCUUAGAUAUGACAUAGAACACCAAUUGCGAAGGCAGCUGGCUACGCAUAUAUUGACACUGAGGCUCGAAAGCGUGGGGAUCAAACAGG